GUCCGUAUGCGACGUCUGGGGAGGAAUUUCCUCUCGGUAACGACCUCCCCUCUUAACUUCCUUUCAGGCAUUUGUGGAGCUGCUUGGCCCUGUGAUCCAAGAGCGAUGCAACAGGCUGCAGGGAGAAGUAAAAACACCUGAGAUGCUGCUGUGAGUGCUGUGGAGGGAGGGAGACCGGUGAAUCCUGCAUGACUCUAAUUGCUUGGCCCCAAGUCUUAGUGAAUAAAGUUGAGGUGCGCUAGUCACUUAGGGCUGUCUGUCAGAGGGAGACAGGAGCUCCCCCUGGCCCUCCAGAUUUUAACGAUUCUGUGUCUUUUCAUCCUUGUCACCCCUUGGUCAGUUUCAAGCUCAUAGGCUGGUUCCUGCACCCUUUGUCUUUUCAUAGCUUGAUAGCUCCUUUGUUUUUAGUGCUGGACCUCUACUGAAAGACAUCUUGGUUGCUCCCAGGUUUUGGCACGUAUGAGUAAAGCGGCAAUAAACAUCUGUGUGUAGGUUUUUCUGUGGACUUUUAAGUUUUCAGCUCCUUUAGG
This 530-nucleotide long non-coding RNA is filed under the name Fukomys damarensis (Damara mole-rat). Its description in RNAcentral is "lncRNA (ENSFDAG00000032078.1)". The record is from RNAcentral. Lineage: Eukaryota; Metazoa; Chordata; Mammalia; Rodentia; Bathyergidae.